This 132-nucleotide ribosomal RNA is filed under the name Escherichia coli. RNAcentral's name for it is "partial 16S ribosomal RNA". It matches the Rfam family "Bacterial small subunit ribosomal RNA", at positions 1414 to 1533 of the family's 1533-position model. RNAcentral also lists the same sequence under 9 other names. The record is from RNAcentral. Lineage: Bacteria; Pseudomonadati; Pseudomonadota; Gammaproteobacteria; Enterobacterales; Enterobacteriaceae.
GUUGCAAAAGAAGUAGGUAGCUUAACCUUCGGGAGGGCGCUUACCACUUUGUGAUUCAUGACUGGGGUGAAGUCGUAACAAGGUAACCGUAGGGGAACCUGCGGUUGGAUCACCUCCUUACCUUAAAGAAGC